This 244-nucleotide ribosomal RNA is filed under the name uncultured bacterium. RNAcentral's name for it is "partial 16S ribosomal RNA". It matches the Rfam family "Bacterial small subunit ribosomal RNA", at positions 524 to 768 of the family's 1533-position model. The record is from RNAcentral.
UACGGAGGGUGCGAGCGUUGUCCGGAAUCACUGGGCGUAAAGGGCGCGUAGGCGGUCUGCUAAGCGUGCGGUGAAAUCCUGCGGCUUAACCGCAGGGCUGCCUUCUAAACUGCCAGCUCGAGCACAGUAGAGGCAGGUGGAAUUCCCGGUGUAGGCGGUGGAAUGCGCAGAUAUCAGGAGGACACCAAUAGCGAAGGCAGCUCGCUGGGACGUAGCUGACACUGAGGCGCGAAAGCGUGGGGAG